AACCGGGGAAUGAUGUGGAUUAUUUUGAUGCACGAGAAAAACCUUACCUACCCUUGACAUGUAUGGAAAACCGAAAAUAUUUUGUUUUGCUCAAAAGAAAACCUUAAACAGGUGCUGCAUGGCUGUCCUCAUCUCGUGUCGUAAGAUUUUGGGUUAACUCCCGAAACGAGCGCACCCUUUGUCAUUAGUUGCUACAUGCUGUGGAGCACUCUAAAGAGACUGUGGGAGACAAACAGGAGGAGGGUGGGGAUAACAUCCCUUCCGCUUGGCCCUUUUGGGUCGGGCUUUACACAACGAUAUUGGUACAAACAGAGGGCCACCCACCCACGAGAGGGAACCAAUCCCUCAAAGUGUAUCGUUAGUCCGGAUCGCUUUCUGUCACUCGGGGGGCUGAAAUUAACAACACUUGUGAUCGCGGAUCAUCUUGUCGAGUGAAUUCUUUCCCGGGGCUAGCAC
RNAcentral lists this ribosomal RNA (456 nucleotides) under uncultured bacterium. Its description in RNAcentral is "bacterial SSU rRNA". It matches the Rfam family "Bacterial small subunit ribosomal RNA", at positions 927 to 1386 of the family's 1533-position model. The record is from RNAcentral.